UACGAGGGGGGCGAGCGUUGUUCGGAAUUAUUGGGCGUAAAGGGUGCGUAGGCGGUUUGGUAAGUCUUGUGUGAAAUCUCCAGGCUCGACUUGGAGUCUGCACGAGAAACUGCCGGGCUUGAGUGUGGGAGAGGUGAGUGGAAUUCCUGGUGUAGCGGUGAAAUGCGUAGAUAUCAGGAGGAACACCUGUGGCGAAAGCGGCUCACUGGACCACAACUGACGCUGAUGCACGAAAGCUAGGGGAGCAAACAGG
RNAcentral lists this ribosomal RNA (253 nucleotides) under uncultured bacterium. Its description in RNAcentral is "partial 16S ribosomal RNA". It matches the Rfam family "Bacterial small subunit ribosomal RNA", at positions 524 to 776 of the family's 1533-position model. The record is from RNAcentral.